UACGUAGGGUGCGAGCGUUAAUCGGAAUUACUGGGCGUAAAGCGUGCGUAGGCGGUUCGUUAAGUUCGAUGUGAAAGCCCCGGGCUCAACCUGGGAAUGGCAUUGGAAACUGGCGAGCUGGAGUGUGGCAGAGGGGGGUGGAAUUCCACGUGUAGCAGUGAAAUGCGUAGAGAUGUGGAGGAACACCGAUGGCGAAGGCAGCCCCCUGGGCUAACACUGACGCUCAGGCACGAAAGCGUGGGGAGCAAACAGG
Molecule: ribosomal RNA, 253 nt
Filed under: uncultured bacterium
Lineage: Bacteria
Description: partial 16S ribosomal RNA
Rfam family: Bacterial small subunit ribosomal RNA
Source: RNAcentral